UAUCUCCUUCUAUUCCCCGG
Molecule: microRNA, 20 nt
Filed under: Schistosoma mansoni
Lineage: Eukaryota; Metazoa; Platyhelminthes; Trematoda; Strigeidida; Schistosomatidae
Description: sma-miR-8475-5p
Source: miRBase by way of RNAcentral